Molecule: ribosomal RNA, 948 nt
Filed under: uncultured crenarchaeote
Lineage: Archaea; Thermoproteati; Thermoproteota
Description: bacterial SSU rRNA
Rfam family: Archaeal small subunit ribosomal RNA
Source: RNAcentral
CCUGCCGGACCCCACUGCUAUCGGGAUAGGACUAAGACAUGCUAGUCGAGCGCCUUCCAGCCACGAAGAAGGCGCGGCACACAGCUCAGUAACACGUGGCUAACCUGCCCUCGGGACGAGAACACCCCCGGGAAACUGGGGCUAAUUCUCGAUAGGCGAAGAACUCUGGAAUGAGUCUUUACCCAAAAGACGUUUAGAUCAUGCUUCUAGGCGUCGCCCAAGGAUGGGGCCGCGACCGAUCAGGUAGUUGGUGAGGCAAUGGCUCACCAAGCCUUUAACCGGUGCGGGCCGUGGGAGCGGGAGCCCGGAGAUGGGCACUGAGACAAGGGCCCAGGCCCUACGGGGCGCAGCAGUCGCGAAAACUUUGCAAUAAGCGAAGGCUUGACAGGGCUAUCCCGAGUGCCAUCCGCUGAGGAAGGCUUUUACCCAAUCUAGUAAGCUGGGGGAAUAAGGAGAGGGCAAGUCUGGUGUCAGCCGCCGCGGUAAUACCAGCUCUCCGAGUGGUGUGGAUGUUUAUUGGGCCUAAAGCAUCCGUAGCUGGCUGAGUUAGUCCCCUGUUAAAUCCACCGAAUCAAUCGUUGGAUUGCGGGGGAUACUGCUCGGCUAGGGGACGGGAGAGGCAGACGGUAUUUCCGGGGUAAGGGUGAAAUCUUAUAAUCCCGGAAAGACCACCAGUGGCGAAGGCUGUCUGCUAGAACGCGCCCGACGGUGAGGGAUGAAAGCUGGGGUAGCGAACCGGAUUAGAUACCCGGGUAGUCCCAGCCGUAAACGAUGCAGGCUAGGUGUUUGGGCGGCCACGUGCCGCUCUAGUGCCGCAGGGAAGCUGUUAAGCCUGCCGCCUGGGGGAGUACGAUCGCAAGAUUGAAACUUAAAAGGAAUUGGCGGGGGAGCACCACAAGGGGUGAAGCUUGCGGUUUAAUUGGAUUCAACGCCCGGGAUCUUUCUAGA